RNAcentral lists this long non-coding RNA (259 nucleotides) under Homo sapiens (human). RNAcentral describes it as "non-protein coding lnc-CCNL2-4:1". The record is from RNAcentral. Lineage: Eukaryota; Metazoa; Chordata; Mammalia; Primates; Hominidae.
CAAUUUGAGCCGCGUCGAGGUCGGGCUUGGGAAGGGUCAGCGGGAGGCCUGAGGGCGCCGGGCGCUGCGGCAGGCGGGCCCGGGGUCCAGCCGAGAGGGUCCGGGCGCCAGGCAACGCGAUUCGCGCGGGGGUGAACCCGGGGAGGGGGCCGGCCUCCCCGUUCUGGGACCUUUCCUCCCCUGGGACCUGUGGCCGCCGCCCACAGACCAUGCUCCUGGGGCGCCUGACUUCCCAGCUGUUGAGGGCCGUUCCUUGGGC